Molecule: ribosomal RNA, 488 nt
Filed under: uncultured bacterium
Lineage: Bacteria
Description: bacterial SSU rRNA
Rfam family: Bacterial small subunit ribosomal RNA
Source: RNAcentral
GAUGAACGUUGGCGGCGUGCCUAAUACAUGCAAGUCGAACGGAGAAUUUGAUGUAGCAAUACAUUGAAUUUCUUAGUGGCGAACGGGUGAGUAACGCGUUGGUGACCUACCCCAAAGAGCGGGAUAACGGUUUGAAAAGACCGCUAAUACCUCAUGUGAUCAUAUGGAUUAGAAGCCUAAUGAUUAAAGGAGCUUGCUCCGCUUUGGGAGGGGCCAGCGUACCAUCAGCUGGUUGGUAGGGUAAUGGCUUACCAAGGCGACGAUGGUUAGCUGGUCUGAGAGGAUGAUCAGCCACACUGGAACUGAGACACGGUCCAGACUCCUACGGGAGGCAGCAGGUGAGGAAUAUUGCGCAAUGGGGGCAACCCUGACGCAGCAACGCCGCGUGAGUGAGGAAGGUUUUCGGACUGUAAAGCUCUGUCGAGCGGGAAGAAGUGUACCAUGGCUAAUAUCCAUGAUAUUUGACGGUACCGCUAGAGGAGCACCGG